This 320-nucleotide long non-coding RNA is filed under the name Solanum lycopersicum (tomato). Its description in RNAcentral is "long non-coding RNA (SLYC_LNC000259)". The record is from RNAcentral. Lineage: Eukaryota; Viridiplantae; Streptophyta; Magnoliopsida; Solanales; Solanaceae.
CACCCCCAAGUACUCCAAGGCUAGGUAUGAUGAAAUCGUGAAGGAAGUUUCUUCCUACCUCAAGAAGGUUGGUUACAACCCUGACAAAAUCCCCUUUGUUCCAAUCUCUGGUUUUGAAGGAGACAACAUGAUUGAGAGGUCUACCAACCUCGACUGGUACAAGGGACCAACCCUCCUUGAGGCUCUUGACCAGAUUAAUGAGCCCAAGAGGCCAUCAGACAAGCCCCUCCGUCUUCCACUUCAGGACGUUUACAAGAUUGGUGGAAUUGGAACUGUCCCCGUUGGUCGUGUUGAAACUGGUGUGAUCAAGCCUGGUAUGG